Molecule: ribosomal RNA, 521 nt
Filed under: Bacillus licheniformis
Lineage: Bacteria; Bacillati; Bacillota; Bacilli; Caryophanales; Bacillaceae
Description: bacterial SSU rRNA
Rfam family: Bacterial small subunit ribosomal RNA
Source: RNAcentral
AUGCAGUCGAGCGGACAGAUGGGAGCUUGCUCCCUGAUGUUAGCGGCGGACGGGUGAGUAACACGUGGGUAACCUGCCUGUAAGACUGGGAUAACUCCGGGAAACCGGGGCUAAUACCGGAUGCUUGUUUGAACCGCAUGGUUCAAACAUAAAAGGUGGCUUCGGCUACCACUUACAGAUGGACCCGCGGCGCAUUAGCUAGUUGGUGAGGUAAUGGCUCACCAAGGCGACGAUGCGUAGCCGACCUGAGAGGGUGAUCGGCCACACUGGGACUGAGACACGGCCCAGACUCCUACGGGAGGCAGCAGUAGGGAAUCUUCCGCAAUGGACGAAAGUCUGACGGAGCAACGCCGCGUGAGUGAUGAAGGUUUUCGGAUCGUAAAGCUCUGUUGUUAGGGAAGAACAAGUACCGUUCGAAUAGGGCGGUACCUUGACGGUACCUAACCAGAAAGCCACGGCUAACUACGUGCCAGCAGCCGCGGUAAUACGUAGGUGGCAAGCGUUGUCCGGAAUUAUUGGGC